This 428-nucleotide ribosomal RNA is filed under the name uncultured bacterium. Its description in RNAcentral is "bacterial SSU rRNA". It matches the Rfam family "Bacterial small subunit ribosomal RNA", at positions 29 to 501 of the family's 1533-position model. The record is from RNAcentral.
AACGAACGCUGGCGGCAUGCCUAACACAUGCAAGUCGAACGCCUGUAGCAAUACAGGAGUGGCGCACGGGUGAGUAACGCGUGGGAACCUGCCUAGUGGUAAGGAAUAACCGCGGGAAACUGCGGCUAAUACCUUAUGAGCCCUACGGGGGAAAGAUUUAUCGCCAUUAGAGGGGCCCGCGUCCGAUUAGCUAGUUGGUGAGGUAGCGGCUCACCAAGGCGACGAUCGGUAGCUGGUCUGAGAGGAUGAUCAGCCACACUGGGACUGAGACACGGCCCAGACUCCUACGGGAGGCAGCAGUGGGGAGUAUUGGACAAUGGGCGAAAGCCUGAUCCAGCAAUGCCGCGUGAGUGAUGAAGGCCUUAGGGUUGUAAAGCUCUUUUACCCGGGAUGAUAAUGACAGUACCGGAGAAUAAGCCCCGGCUAAC